AACCGAGAACUCCUACGGGAGGCAGCAGUGGGGAAUUUUGGACAAUGGGGGCAACCCUGAUCCAGCAAUGCCGCGUGAGUGAAGAAGGCCUUUGGGUUGUAAAGCUCUUUUGUCAGGGAAGAAACGGUAGUAGCUAAUAUCUAUUACUAAUGACGGUAACUGAAGAAUAAGCACCGGCUAACUACGUGCCAGCAGCCGCGGUAAUACGUAGGGUGCAAGCGUUAAUCGGAAUUACUGGGCGUAAAGCGUGCGCAGGCGGUUGUGUAAGUCAGAUGUGAAAUCCCCGGGCUCAACCUGGGAAUUGCACUUGAGACUGCACCGCUAGAGUGUGUCAGAGGGGGGUAGAAUUCCACGUGUAGCAGUGAAAUGCGUAGAUAUGGGGAGGAAUACCGCUGGCGAAGGCAGCCCCCGGGGAUAACUCUGACGCUCAUGCACGAAAGCGUGGGGAGCACACAGGAUUAGAUACCCCUGGAGUCCGACUGAGA
RNAcentral lists this ribosomal RNA (485 nucleotides) under uncultured bacterium. Its description in RNAcentral is "bacterial SSU rRNA". It matches the Rfam family "Bacterial small subunit ribosomal RNA", at positions 327 to 805 of the family's 1533-position model. The record is from RNAcentral.